AUUGAACGCUGGCGGCAGGCCUAACACAUGCAAGUCGAACGGCAGCACAGAAGAGCUUGCUCUUUGGGUGGCGGGUGGCGGACGGGUGAGUAAUGUCUGGGAAACUGCCCGAUGGAGGGGGAUAACUACUGGAAACGGUAGCUAAUACCGCAUAACGUCGCAAGACCAAAGUGGGGGACCUUCGGGCCUCACACCAUCGGAUGUGCCCAGAUGGGAUUAGCUAGUAGGUGGGGUAAUGGCUCACCUAGGCGACGAUCCCUAGCUGGUCUGAGAGGAUGACCAGCCACACGGGAACUGAGACACGGUCCAGACUCCUACGGGAGGCAGCAGUGGGGAAUAUUGCACGAUGGGCGCAAGCCUGAUGCAGCCAUGCCGGGUGUAUGAGGAAGGCCUUCGGGUUGUAAAGUACUUUCAGCGGGGAGGAAGGCGGUGAGGUUAAUAACCUUGCCGAUUGACGUUACCCGCAGAAGAAGCACCGGCUAACUCCGUGCCAGCCGCCGCAGUAA
Molecule: ribosomal RNA, 506 nt
Filed under: uncultured bacterium
Lineage: Bacteria
Description: partial 16S ribosomal RNA
Rfam family: Bacterial small subunit ribosomal RNA
Source: RNAcentral